GCGCACGCUGGCGGCAGGCCUCACACCUGCCAGUCGCACGAACCUUUCGGGGUUAGUGGCGGACGGGUGAGUAACACGUGGGAACGUGCCUUUAGGUUCGGAAUAACUCAGGGAAACUUGUGCUAAUACCGAAUGUGCCCUUCGGGGGAAAGAUUUAUCGCCUUUAGAGCGGCCCGCGUCUGAUUAGCUAGUUGGUUGAGGUAAUGGCUCACCAAGGCGACGAUCAGUAGCUGGUCUGAGAGGAUGAUCAGCCACAUUGGGACUGAGACACGGCCCAAACUCCUACGGGAGGCAGCAGUGGGGAAUCUUGCGCAAUGGGCGAAAGCCUGACGCAGCCAUGCCGCGUGAAUGAUGAAGGUCUUAGGAUUGUAAAAUUCUUUCACCGGGGACGAUAAUGACGGUACCCGGAGAAGAAGCCCCGGCUAACUUCGUG
Molecule: ribosomal RNA, 433 nt
Filed under: uncultured bacterium
Lineage: Bacteria
Description: partial 16S ribosomal RNA
Rfam family: Bacterial small subunit ribosomal RNA
Source: RNAcentral